UACGUAGGGCGCAAGCGUUGUCCGGAAUUAUUGGGCGUAAAGAGCUCGUAGGCGGCUUGUCACGUCGGGUGUGAAAGCCCGGGGCUUAACCCCGGGUCUGCAUUCGAUACGGGCAGGCUAGAGUGUGGUAGGGGAGGUCGGAAUUCCUGGUGUAGCGGUGAAAUGCGCAGAUAUCAGGAGGAACACCGGUGGCGAAGGCGGAUCUCUGGGCCAUUACUGACGCUGAGGAGCGAAAGCGUGGGGAGCGAACAGG
RNAcentral lists this ribosomal RNA (253 nucleotides) under uncultured bacterium. RNAcentral describes it as "partial 16S ribosomal RNA". It matches the Rfam family "Bacterial small subunit ribosomal RNA", at positions 524 to 776 of the family's 1533-position model. The record is from RNAcentral.